RNAcentral lists this ribosomal RNA (499 nucleotides) under uncultured Actinomycetes bacterium. Its description in RNAcentral is "bacterial SSU rRNA". It matches the Rfam family "Bacterial small subunit ribosomal RNA", at positions 8 to 522 of the family's 1533-position model. The record is from RNAcentral. Lineage: Bacteria; Bacillati; Actinomycetota; Actinomycetes.
AGAGUUUGAUCAUGGCUCAGGACGAACGCUGGCGGCGUGCUUAACACAUGCAAGUCGAACGGAAAGGCCCUUCGGGGUACUCGAGUGGCGAACGGGUGAGUAACACGUGGGUGAUCUGCCCUGCACUUUGGGAUAAGCCUGGGAAACUGGGUCUAAUACCGAAUACACCUUGCUGGUCGCAUGAUCUGGUGGGGGAAAGCUUUUGCGGUGUGGGAUGGGCCCGCGGCCUAUCAGCUUGUUGGUGAGGUUAUGGCUUACCAAGGCGACGACGGGUAGCCGGCCUGAGAGGGUGACCGGCCACACUGGGACUGAGAUACGGCCCAGACUCCUACGGGAGGCAGCAGUGGGGAAUAUUGCACAAUGGGCGCAAGCCUGAUGCAGCGACGCCGCGUGAGGGAUGACGGCCUUCGGGUUGUAAACCUCUUUCAGCAGGGACGAAGCGCAAGUGACGGUACCUGUAGAAGAAGGACCGGCCAACUACGUGCCAGCAGCCGCGGUA